AUAAGGUGUUGUCCAAAUACACACAAAUAAUAUGCCCCGGCGCGUGUGGCAAUACUGUUCCCGCCUAGAUGCAAUUGGCCUCCAGCCUGUGCCUGUUCGAUAUUGUUGCUUUUUUACACCGAAACUUCUUUUUUUAUUACAAAUGAGGCUGAGUGUUUCGACAAGACAAUCGUCAAACGCAAUAGAAUAUCCGUUACAUACUUACCAAUAAUGAAAUCUUCGUUGGUAGCUAUAAAUAUGAGUCGCCUAAGUUUUACAAUAUAUCACGUACUCCUGAAUAUUAGCAGAAAAUUAAGAAACCUGUUCAACCUAUCUAUGCAUUAGUAUAUCACACAUUUAAAUUAUGAGAUAAGUUCGCACCUUCAAAUCGUGCCGCAAAACUGAACAAUAAUAAACUCCAAUUAAAAACAACAAAAUCGACCAAACACCUCCAGCCAAUCAGUAACUAGGGGGACAGUGUUGCCAUACGUGCCUGGGACAGAUUAACUGGCAGGAGGGAAUAAGUUGAGUUGACACGGGGAAAGAUUGACUAUGAAUUGAUUUGUGUCCGUAUUCUCAAACGCUUUCGGCUCUCACGACAGCUACUUCCAAGGGCCACAGAAGGUGAUUAGUCAAGUUCUCAUGAGUGUUUUUUUUCAUGUUCAUGGUACAGAAGCCUUGUCAAACUAUCACUAGACUCAAAGUUAAACGAUCACUAGGUUCAUUAAAUUACCCAUGGAUAUGCUAACACAACCUCUACCAAAGCCUUGUCAAACUAUCACUAGACUCAAAGUUAAACGAUCACUAGGUGCAUUAAAUUACCCAUGGAUAUGCUAACACAACCUCUAACAAAGCCUUGUCAAACUAUCACUAGGUCCAUAAAACUACCCAUGGGACUACUAAAACAACCUCUUCUAAAGCCUUGUCAUGCUAUCACUAAGCUCAGAAAACUACCCGUGAAAAUACUACCAAAGGCUCUACUAAAACCAUAUCAGAGGAUCACUAGGUUCAUUAAACUACCCAUGAAAAUGCUGACACAAACUCUACCAAAGUCUUGUCAAGCUACCACUAGGCUUAUAAAACUACCCAUAGGAAUACUAACACAGCCUCUACUAAAGCCUUGUCAAGCUAUCACUAAGCUCAGAAGCUAACCACAAAACUCAUAAAAGUAACCAUGGAUAUCCUAACACAAGCUCUACCAAACCCUUGUCAAACUAUCACUAGGCUUAUAAAACCACACACAGGAAUCAACACUUCCUCUACCAAAGCCGGGUCAAACUACCACUAGGCUUACAAAACGACCCGAGGAAAUACUAACACAGUCUAUAGCAAAGCCUUGUCAAACUAUCAUCUAGGCCUCUAGGGUUCUAGGCUCAUAAAACUACCCAUGAGAAUAAUACCACAACCACUACCAAAGCCUUAUCCAAUGUGGGUGGGUGAGCCCUGAAACGCUUGAAAUAUGAAGGGGGUUGGUAAAAGGAUAGACAGUAUGAGGUGAUAUACAAGUGGGUUAGUAAGAGUUGAGUUAGUAUGAAAAAACACACGAUGUCAUUAGUAAGGAGAUGUAUUCGGAGUUCUACAUCUGAUAAGAAAAUAAUGGAAGAGGUCGUGGUGGUGGUGGUGGUGGUGGU
Eriocheir sinensis (Chinese mitten crab) is the source of this 1610-nucleotide long non-coding RNA. RefSeq lists it as uncharacterized. The record is from RefSeq and is a predicted model, not a curated record. The transcript has 2 exons. Lineage: Eukaryota; Metazoa; Arthropoda; Malacostraca; Decapoda; Varunidae.